UGCCAGCCGCCGCGGUAAGACGGAGGGCGCAAGCGUUGUUCGGAAUUACUGGGCGUAAAGCGCACGCAGGCGGUUUGCUAAGUCCUUUGUGAAAGCCCGGGGCUCAACCCCGGAAUUGCAUGGGAUACUGGCAGACUGGAGACAGGUAGAGGCUAGCGGAAUUCCUGGUGUAGCGGUGGAAUGCGUAGAUAUCAGGAAGAACACCUGUGGCGAAGGCGGCUAGCUGGGCCGAUAUUGACGCUGAGGCGCGAAGGCGUGGGUAGCGAACGGGAUUAGAUA
RNAcentral lists this ribosomal RNA (279 nucleotides) under uncultured bacterium. RNAcentral's name for it is "partial 16S ribosomal RNA". It matches the Rfam family "Bacterial small subunit ribosomal RNA", at positions 506 to 784 of the family's 1533-position model. The record is from RNAcentral.